CACACUGUGGCGCAGUGGGCCAGUGCAUCUGGCUGCGAGGCAGAAGGUCGGCGGUUCGAGCCCACCCAGGGACGGCUGUGA
Molecule: non-coding RNA, 81 nt
Organism: Podarcis lilfordi (Lilford's wall lizard)
Lineage: Eukaryota; Metazoa; Chordata; Lepidosauria; Squamata; Lacertidae
Source: the annotation of a GenBank genome assembly